UACGUAGGAUGCGAGCGUUAAUCGGAAUUACUGGGCGUAAAGCGUGCGCAGGCGGCUUUGCAAGACAGAUGUGAAAUCCCCGGGCUCAACCUGGGAACUGCAUUUGUGACUGCAAGGCUAGAGUACGGCAGAGGGGGAUGGAAUUCCGCGUGUAGCAGUGAAAUGCGUAGAUAUGCGGAGGAACACCAAUGGCGAAGGCAAUCCCCUGGGCCUGUACUGACGCUCAUGCACGAAAGCGUGGGGAGCAAACAGG
Molecule: ribosomal RNA, 253 nt
Filed under: uncultured bacterium
Lineage: Bacteria
Description: partial 16S ribosomal RNA
Rfam family: Bacterial small subunit ribosomal RNA
Source: RNAcentral